RNAcentral lists this long non-coding RNA (467 nucleotides) under Homo sapiens (human). RNAcentral describes it as "non-protein coding lnc-ST7L-2:3". Lineage: Eukaryota; Metazoa; Chordata; Mammalia; Primates; Hominidae. The record is from RNAcentral.
GGCAGUUUCCUGAUCUUCUGGAUAUGCUGCCACGCUGUCCCAGGGCUGGUGGUGUCCCCUGACUUGUUCCUCUCCUGACUUUCUCAGCCUGGAGACUGAAAGCUCUCUUUGGCUGUUGGCCCUCCCAGGCAGAGUCCACUGGCUGUUAGGGUGAAAUGGGGCUGAUGCUUCCUGGAAUCCACCAGAAGUAUGCAAAUUGCACCAUCUCUUUCAGCUGCCUGCGCCUGCAUUCCAUCGAGGAUUCCGGCUCGUCCCCCAGUGGCAACAACUAGAGAGGAGAUGAGCCAAGAUAGAAGGGCAUCUUCCCAACAUAAAUGAGACACAAAGACAAUGUGGGUAAAAGUGAAAUCAGCUUUAUUGUGAAACUGUAAUCAAAGAAGAACUGGCUAUUGGUGCUACCACCUGGAUUCAAGAAGAUGGACAAAGUGACCUCAGAAUCAACCCACAAGUACUUACUGACCACCCAC